CUCCUCUUCCAAUGCCGAUUCACUCUACGGGUGUGGAAUGAUACUAUUCCGUGGCUUAGAAUGCACUACGUCAACACGGCCACCUGGGCGGCGAGGGUCUCGGUGAGAGACUGGUGGACCAGCAACAUACACAUUCGGGUCAGAUCUCCCAAGGCGCUGGCCUCUCUGAUGAUGCUCAUCUCAUGGGAGAUUUGGACCGAACGCAAUGCUAGAGUCUUCCGUAACACAGCCGUCCCUUCGAUGGAACUCAUUUCCAAGAUUAAAGAGGAGGUGUCUCUUUGGGCUUUGGCCGGUGCGAAGCAGUUGGGUAUUGUAAUGCCGCGAGAGUAG
This 330-nucleotide ribosomal RNA is filed under the name Triticum aestivum (bread wheat). Its description in RNAcentral is "partial small subunit ribosomal RNA". Lineage: Eukaryota; Viridiplantae; Streptophyta; Magnoliopsida; Poales; Poaceae. The record is from RNAcentral.